CCUACGGGUGGCUGCAGUCGAGAAUCUUCGGCAAUGAGCGCAAGCUUGACCGAGCGACGCCGCGUGCGGGAUGAAGGCCUUCGGGUUGUAAACCGCUGUCGUAGGGGAGGAAGUCGGCGGGGGUACUCCCCCGUCGUUGACCUAUCCUAGGAGGAAGUCCGGGCUAAGUUCGUGCCAGCAGCCGCGGUAAGACGAACCGGACAAACGUUAUUCGGAAUUACUGGGCUUAAAGGGUACGUAGGCGGUCCGGUAAGUGGGGUGUGAAAUCCCUCGGCUCAACCGAGGAACUGCGCCCCAUACUGCCGGACUUGAGGGAGACAGAGGUGAGCGGAACUGAUGGUGGAGCGGUGAAAUGCGUUGAUAUCAUCAGGAACACCGGUGGCGAAAGCGACUCACUGGGUCUCUUCUGACGCUGAGGUACGAAAGCUAGGGGAGCGAAC
Molecule: ribosomal RNA, 440 nt
Filed under: uncultured bacterium
Lineage: Bacteria
Description: bacterial SSU rRNA
Rfam family: Bacterial small subunit ribosomal RNA
Source: RNAcentral